UACGGAGGGUGCAAGCGUUAUCCGGAUUCACUGGGUUUAAAGGGUGCGUAGGUGGGUUGGUAAGUCAGUGGUGAAAUCUCCAGGCUUAACUUGGAAACUGCCAUUGAUACUAUCAAUCUUGAAUACCGUGGAGGUCAGCGGAAUAUGUCAUGUAGCGGUGAAAUGCUUAGAUAUGACAUAGAACACCAAUUGCGAAGGCGGCUGGCUACACGAAUAUUGACACUGAUGCACGAAAGCGUGGGGAUCAAACAGG
Molecule: ribosomal RNA, 253 nt
Filed under: uncultured bacterium
Lineage: Bacteria
Description: partial 16S ribosomal RNA
Rfam family: Bacterial small subunit ribosomal RNA
Source: RNAcentral